ACCAAAUUCUUUAAAGAAAAGUCUUGACAUAAAUUCAAAAAUUAUAGUCUCAUUAUAUUCUGAAUGUGCAAAAUUAUGGCACAGCAGUGAGAGGAGCUGAUGACUCAGAGGACAGACAGCCAGAGUCUGUGACGUCACCAAUACCGCAGCCUUGCCUGUGUUUACUUAACAUUCAUAAACACCCGCACGAGGAACACAAAACAGCUGAACCAAGACAUCUCUACACAGAUUGUCUGGUGAGUUUGCUGGCCAGUCAAGCACGCUAACACCAUGGUCACUUUUUGCAGUGUGGGUAGGUUCCAAAGCCGUCAGCAGAAGGAAGCAUAAAGUGCUCCAAAAUUUCUUGGUAAAUGGGGGAUACUGUCUGUGGUUCAGGAGGAAUUCAACAA
This 389-nucleotide long non-coding RNA is filed under the name Carassius auratus (goldfish). Its description in RNAcentral is "lncRNA (ENSCARG00000000418.1)". Lineage: Eukaryota; Metazoa; Chordata; Actinopteri; Cypriniformes; Cyprinidae. The record is from RNAcentral.